Long non-coding RNA from Oncorhynchus mykiss (rainbow trout), 485 nucleotides. NCBI's taxonomy places the organism in Eukaryota, Metazoa, Chordata, Actinopteri, Salmoniformes, Salmonidae. The record is from Ensembl.
GUGUGUGCACAUAGGGGUUCUCGUCUGUGUGUGUGUGUACGUAGGGUUUCUAGUCGGUCGACCGUGUGUGUGCACGUAGGGGUUCUAGUCUGUCGACCGUGUGUGUGUGCACAUAGGGGUUCUCGUCUGUGUGUGUGUGUGUACGUAGGGGUUCUAAUCUGUCAAUUGUGUGUGUGUAUGUAGGGGUUCUAGUCGGUCGACCGUGUGUGUGUACGUAGGGGUUCUAGUCUGUCGACCGUGUGUGCGCGUACGUAGGGGUUCUAGUCUGUCGACCGUGUGUGUGUGUGUACGUAGGGGUUCUAGUCUGUCGACCGUGUGUGCGUGCACAUAGGGGUUCUCGUCUGUGUGUGUGUGUGCGUGUACGUAGGGGUUCUAAUCUGUCAAUUGUGUGUGUGUACGUAGGGGUUCUAGUCGGUCGACCGUGUGUGUACGUAGGGGUUCUAGUCUGUCGACCGUGUGUGUGUGUGUACGUAGGGGUUCUAGUC